Molecule: ribosomal RNA, 207 nt
Filed under: uncultured bacterium
Lineage: Bacteria
Description: partial 16S ribosomal RNA
Rfam family: Bacterial small subunit ribosomal RNA
Source: RNAcentral
CACGUAGGCGGCCAUUCAAGUCAGAGGUGAAAGCCCGGGGCUCAACCCCGGAACUGCCUUUGAAACUAGAUGGCUUGAAUCUUGGAGAGGCGAGUGGAAUUCCGAGUGUAGAGGUGAAAUUCGUAGAUAUUCGGAAGAACACCAGUGGCGAAGGCGACUCGCUGGACAAGUAUUGACGCUGAGGUGCGAAAGCGUGGGUAGCAAACA